UACGUAGGGGGCUAGCGUUAUCCGGAAUUACUGGGCGUAAAGGGUGCGUAGGUGGUUUCUUAAGUCAGAGGUGAAAGGCUACGGCUCAACCGUAGUAAGCCUUUGAAACUGGGAAACUUGAGUGCAGGAGAGGAGAGUGGAAUUCCUAGUGUAGCGGUGAAAUGCGUAGAUAUUAGGAGGAACACCAGUUGCGAAGGCGGCACUCUGGGCCGUGACUGACGCUGAGGAGCGAAAGCGUGGGUAGCAAACAGG
RNAcentral lists this ribosomal RNA (252 nucleotides) under uncultured bacterium. RNAcentral's name for it is "partial 16S ribosomal RNA". It matches the Rfam family "Bacterial small subunit ribosomal RNA", at positions 524 to 776 of the family's 1533-position model. The record is from RNAcentral.